UACGUAGGGGGCUAGCGUUAUCCGGAAUUACUGGGCGUAAAGGGUGCGUAGGUGGUUUCUUAAGUCAGAGGUGAAAGGCUACGGCUCAACCGUAGUAAGCCUUUGAAACUGGGGAACUUGAGUGCAGGAGAGGAGAGUGGAAUUCCUAGUGUAGCGGUGAAAUGCGUAGAUAUUAGGAGGAACACCAGUUGCGAAGGCGGCUCUCUGGUCUGUAACUGACGCUGAGGUUCGAAAGCGUGGGUAGCAAACAGG
Molecule: ribosomal RNA, 252 nt
Filed under: uncultured bacterium
Lineage: Bacteria
Description: partial 16S ribosomal RNA
Rfam family: Bacterial small subunit ribosomal RNA
Source: RNAcentral